AUAAAUUCGUUGAAGAGAAAAAGUAAGUAUAGAUUUGUUCUACAGAGAGUUGGCAUUUUGCUGCAAGCCAAUGUUCAAAAUAUAGCUGAAAAAUCAUCUCUGAGAAGUAAAGGUGAAAAGUUAUUGAGUAAUCUUUACCGGAGGCUCACCGUUAAAAGAGAGGCGUAUUAUAAUGUACGUUUACUAAGUGCUAUAAUAGGUUUAUUUUUUAUAAGCUAAUUUUAUAGAAUUAGGGUGGUAACGCGGUUAACCCCGUCCCUUUG
This 263-nucleotide non-coding RNA is filed under the name Clostridium disporicum. Its description in RNAcentral is "T-box sequence". It matches the Rfam family "T-box leader". Rfam says of the family: Uncharged tRNA acts as the effector for transcription antitermination of genes in the T-box leader family. T-boxes are found upstream of many aminoacyl-tRNA synthetase genes and some amino acid biosynthetic genes usually in Gram-positive bacteria. The anticodon of a specific tRNA base pairs to a specifier sequence within the T-box motif, and the NCCA acceptor tail of the tRNA base pairs to a conserved bulge in the T-box antiterminator hairpin. Lineage: Bacteria; Bacillati; Bacillota; Clostridia; Eubacteriales; Clostridiaceae. The record is from RNAcentral.